AGAGGGAUGAAGAAUUAAUCAACGCCGCCGAGUGGGUGCCCUGCCCCCAACUGUUUAUUUUUCCCAGCCGCCCGAUUUGUCGCCUCUCCUCUCCCUCCUCCCUGUGUCGCCUUGCUCUUGACUUCCCUCUCUCUCCCUCCCUCCUCUCACUACCGGCAUCGGUAAAGUACGCGUCUUUACUCAACUUGGAGGGAGGAAGAAGAAGAAGCCAGAGUCCAUCAAGGACUGAUGGAGGGCUAAGCUUCAGAAUCCACACCCCCUCCCCUCUUGCUGCUACCAGUUUCA
RNAcentral lists this unclassified non-coding RNA (285 nucleotides) under Hevea brasiliensis (rubber tree). Lineage: Eukaryota; Viridiplantae; Streptophyta; Magnoliopsida; Malpighiales; Euphorbiaceae. The record is from RNAcentral.